GUCACUCGAACAGGGCUACGAAAUCGUUCUACUGGACAUCGGCGGUGGGAAUUCAUUUUUGAGGUCAAUUUCCAAUCGAGAUAAAUCUAUUGGAUUAGUAGGAUUAUCUGAUUGCAGCUGAAAGAAGUAACCUUGUUUGAUCAUUUGUAUUUCUUGCCUGAUGGUCGGUUUUACACGGAGGUGGCUUUGGGUCCCCAGGACUGUGGAUCGUGGUAGCAUCUGGAAAGAAAAAAGGAUCAAUCGAGACGUUUUGGAAGUGUCUCUUGAAUUUGACGGCGAAGUCUUGUGCAAACUGUCUCCUUGAAUUAUUGGAAGGGGAAUAGGGGAAGAUGAGGGGCUCCCCUCCGUGGAUUUACU
This 357-nucleotide long non-coding RNA is filed under the name Heterocephalus glaber (naked mole-rat). RNAcentral's name for it is "lncRNA (ENSHGLG00100032915.1)". Lineage: Eukaryota; Metazoa; Chordata; Mammalia; Rodentia; Bathyergidae. The record is from RNAcentral.